Oncorhynchus tshawytscha (Chinook salmon) is the source of this 2054-nucleotide long non-coding RNA. The record is from Ensembl. NCBI's taxonomy places the organism in Eukaryota, Metazoa, Chordata, Actinopteri, Salmoniformes, Salmonidae.
GUCUUGGAAAGUCAUGUUUGGGCAUGCCAUGAAGACAAGACACACCUGCUAAAAUCGGUUUCCUAUUGAACAUACUUCUUUCCGUAAGAAAUAGUAUAGUUUGAUUACAUUUUAGGGUAUCUGAGGAGUAUAUAGAAACGUAUUUUGACUUGUUGAAACAAAGUUUAGGGGUCAAUUUUUGGAUUCCUUUCUCUGCAUGUUGAAUGAGUGGAUUACUCAAAUGGAUUGCGCCAACUAAAGACUUUUUGGGAUAUAAAGAAGGAUUUUAUAUAACAAAACGACACUACAUGUUAUAGCUGGGACCCUUUGGAUAACAAAUCAGAGGAAGGUUUUCAAAAAACGAUUGAUGAAUGUCAUGAGCCAACUGAGGAGCCAAGAUCUACUGGUGACCUUCAGCAACAGGAGCAGAGAAACCUCAGCCCCCUCAACCACCAGGAACUUGUGGACCAAGGCCAGGGAGGAGUUGCCAAGGGUGAUGGAGGAUUAGAGAGAGCCUGGAGGUCCAGGGGAGAACCAUGGAGGAAAGGGUAGAUGGAGUUGGUCAACAUGGUCCAGGUGAUGAUUGAGCACUGCAGGGAGAUGAAGGAGAAUAUGGUGGAGCUGUGGGCAACAAUGGAGCAGUAGAGAGUGGAGAAGUGCUCCCAACAGCUCACUAACCUCAACAAAGUCCCUGCUGAGCCUCACAGAAAGACAGAAGUUAGGCUCACCUCUUCUGGGCCUCCUUUGUCAUCAAGGACUCUGUUUUGUCAUUUAUAUUAAAACAGUAUAGUAGUAGGCUAUGUAUUUAUUGUCCUGCAUGUCCGUUACGAACAUCCAAGGUGGGACUGUAGCCUAUAUUUCCCCCUUUCCAGAAUAGGCCAACUAAUCUACCAGCUCAUGUUUGUUGCCUAUGUUUUAAACCUAGUUCUUACUUGAUUCAUUAUGAGCCUUGCCUUAUUUGACAGCAUUGUUUGGAAGGAUUUAAUUGUUAGUGGGGAAAACAGGGCAGUGGGCCUUGAGAUAUGCAGUUGUUGAUAUGUGAGUGGACACCUCCAACAACUGUUUUGCAGAGCCAUAUAGUUUGAGAUUUUUUAAACCAAAAGCAUUAUGAUGCAGCCAUUAUGAUGCAUUUUCAUGACAUCACGUAAUGGCGUGGAAGCAGAUACAAUUAUUAAUUAUUAAUUCAAAAAAGAUAUAUCACGGAGAUAUUGUCAGCCCGUGUGAGCCCAACGGUCAACAUUUGGGGGUCUGGCUCAUGGACUAAUUUGACAGUUUCUAAAUUGGCCUACAGAUGGGUGCAUCAUAUGCAUUGUGACAGCACAUAUCCCAGGGAAACCGGACACUCCCAAACACACAACAAAUAGAAAAUUAACAAAAAUGCAAAACACAACAAAAUAUACAGGUACAGUAACUGCCAAAAUAAAGGAAACACUUGAGUAAAUGAGGGAUACAAAGUAUAUUGAAAUCAGGUGCUUCUACAAAGGUGUUGGUCCUGAGUUAAUUAAGCAAUUAACGUCCCAUGCUUAGGGUCAUGUAUAAAAAUGUCCAACGUCCUAUUAUUUUGGCUACCAUGGCUGGAAGAAGAGAUCUCAGUGACUUUGAAAGAGGGGUCUCAAAGGAGCUUAGGGGGCUUAUACACUUAUGGGAGAUUCUAAAGCAGUGCCUGAGACAGCGUUUUACACCACCUGUCACGUUCUGACCUUUAUUUCCUUUGUUUUGUCAUUAUUUAGUAUGGUCAGGGUGUGAGUUGGGUGGGCAGUCUAUGUUUGUUUUUCUAUGAUUUGGGUAUUUCUAUGUUUCGGCCUAGUAUGGUUCUCAAUCAGAGGCAGGUGCCAUUAGUUGUCUCUGAUUGAGAAUCAUACUUAGGUAGCCUGGGUGUCACUGUGUGUUUGUGGGUGAUUGUUCCUGUCUCUGUGUUUGCACCAGAUAGGACUGUUUAGGUUUUCACACGUUUCUUGUUUUUGUAGUCAGUUGUUCAUGUGCACAUUUAUGUAUUAAAAGAACCAUGGACACUUACCACUCCGCAUAUUGGUCCUCUGAUCCUUUACGCCUCUCCUCUUCGGAAGAAGAGGAGG